GACGAACGCUGGCGGCGUGCUUAACACAUGCAAGUCGAACGGAAAGGCCCUGCUUUUGUGGGGUGCUCGAGUGGCGAACGGGUGAGUAACACGUGAGUAACCUGCCCUUGACUUUGGGAUAACUUCAGGAAACUGGGGCUAAUACCGGAUAGGAGCUCCUGCUGCAUGGUGGGGGUUGGAAAGUUUCGGCGGUUGGGGAUGGACUCGCGGCUUAUCAGCUUGUUGGUGGGGUAGUGGCUUACCAAGGCUUUGACGGGUAGCCGGACUGAGAGGGUGACCGGCCACAUUGGGACUGAGAUACGGCCCAGACUCCUACGGGAGGAAGCAGUGGGGAAUAUUGCACAAUGGGCGGAAGCCUGAUGCAGCAACGCCGCGUGCGGGAUGACGGCCUUCGGGUUGUAAACCGCUUUCGCCUGUGACGAAGCGUGAGUGACGGUAAUGGGUAAAGAAGCACCGGCUAACUACGUG
Molecule: ribosomal RNA, 468 nt
Filed under: uncultured bacterium
Lineage: Bacteria
Description: partial 16S ribosomal RNA
Rfam family: Bacterial small subunit ribosomal RNA
Source: RNAcentral